GUAAGGAUGGUAAGCUUGUAUUUUAUUACAAAACAGAGCAGGUGAAUACAGUCGGUCAGUAAACAAACACAGCAACAUGACUCUGAAACAUACCAGACGGGUGGAGUAAGGAUGGUCAGCUUGUAUUUUAUUACAAAACAGAGCAGUUAUUUGGGAGAGUAAGGAGAGCGUGUAAACAUACAUUAUUCAUACAAAGACAAAGAAUAGCAAGAGAUAAUAUACAGCUUCAACACAAAUAUAGGAAACGUGGGUAAUUGAUAUAUAGGAAUAUACGUAGGAAAUAGCAACAGAAUCCUCCAUGUUGCUUUCAUUGCAGCCUCAUGGUUUUAAAUGUGGGUAAUUGAUAUAUAGGAAUAUACGUAGGAAAUAACAGAAUCCUCCAUGUUGCUUUCAUUGCAGCCUCAUGGUUUUAAACGUGGGUAAUUGUGAAUACUUGACUGUUAGUGCUAAAGGAGAGAGAACUGUGAAUAUAGUCUCGUCAACCAGGCUACUAUGACUAUACUGUAACAAAUAAAUUCUGUUAGCAUUUUCUUUUCUAGGAGAUAAAAUGUUGAAACAAUUACACUAUUUAUGGCUCGACUGAAAUCAGAGAGAGAGCCUUUAAUAACAGAUAGAAAAAGUACAAUGAUUCAAAUCAACAAA
Oncorhynchus tshawytscha (Chinook salmon) is the source of this 642-nucleotide long non-coding RNA. RefSeq lists it as uncharacterized. The transcript has 2 exons. The record is from RefSeq and is a predicted model, not a curated record. Lineage: Eukaryota; Metazoa; Chordata; Actinopteri; Salmoniformes; Salmonidae.